CAAACGUGCCCCAGUCGGAUAUGUGCCCCACUCGCGAAACUCAGUGAAACAUUUUAAAUUUGGCGCUUACUUGAUCCUAGCUGGUCAGUGUUCCAAGUAUGGCCGCGAUGUAAACAACACUGUGCUGGUUUUUAUUUAGUUUUAGUGAGAAAAAGUGAUUAAAAGGAUGCCAAUUCACUAAUCAAAGGGGGAACGUGUUAAUAUUACAAGUCCUUAAAGGUUAAAACAUCCGCAAAGAUUCCUGAAGAUAACAAAAAAGAUAGAAAUACUGUUUCAAGGUAUGUUAAUCAGUUGAAAGCUAACCCUAAAUCUGAUGUGCUCAAACACACGCCAAGUUUGAACAAGAAAAAACAUUAAAAGACUACCUUUUUUUUGUUUUAUCACAAUCUGGGUCCAGUUAUGGACAUGUAUCAAUUCCCAGCUACCAGAAUAUGAAAUAUCGACGAAACUGAUGUUCCAAUAGUCUUAAAAUCAGAACUUACCAGUUUGGAAAUGGAAUUUUUUCAACUCACCUGCAAGGAAAAAGAAGCAAUUAUCAAUAUUGUUUCGUUUGGAUAAAACAACGUCAUUUAUCUGACUAAAUUUGUAAGAAACUAUUAUUUUUAACUCCACUUUUGGAAUGAAUAAAUGGUUCAAAUAAAA
Molecule: long non-coding RNA, 642 nt
Organism: Diorhabda sublineata
Lineage: Eukaryota; Metazoa; Arthropoda; Insecta; Coleoptera; Chrysomelidae
Exons: 3
Source: RefSeq, a predicted model, not a curated record